RNAcentral lists this ribosomal RNA (643 nucleotides) under Rhizocarpon geographicum. Its description in RNAcentral is "partial large subunit ribosomal RNA". The record is from RNAcentral. Lineage: Eukaryota; Fungi; Ascomycota; Lecanoromycetes; Rhizocarpales; Rhizocarpaceae.
CUCAUCGUUUAUACCAUUAGGUAACUUUACUUUAUCACGUUUUUAAUUAGAGCUAAAUAACCCAGUAAAGUAAAGCAAAUUUAAACUAAGAGGCCGUUACUUUAAGUAAAUUCCAUAAGCUUUAGGCGAGGGUAUAAACCCUUUAUCGUUACUCAUGUCAGCAUUAUCACUUGGGUAAUCUAAUCUUAAGUCUUAAAAAGAAAAAAUCUGAGAUAUGCCCAAUGUUCCGCUACCCCAUAUAUAUUCUAUGUAACUUGUACAUAUAAAUAUUUAUGGACAAGGUCUCGGUAUAUUAUUUAGAUCCGCUAAAUCUUAGGUGCAUCUAACAAUACAUACAAAAUUGUAUAAAACCAGUGCUCUGUUACGAGGUCUUUAAAAAAUGGCCGCUCCUAAGCCCAUUUCCUGGUUGGCUUGGAUAAACACUACCUUAUUUUCACUUAACAAUAAUUUUGGAACCUUAUUAACUCUUGUUCUGGGCUGUUUCCCUUUAGACAUACAACCUUAUCGUACUAUGUCUGACAAUUCAAUAUUAAUCUAAGCCCUUCCGAGAGCAAAUACUCACUGAUAGAACCAUCACGAUCCCCCAAUGUCUACAAAAAGCAUUUAAACUAAAAUGCAAGUUGCAUGAGAUCACAAUUAUGAC